UUUAAAUGGCCGCAGUAUACUAACUGUGCAAAGGUAGCAUAAUCAUUAGUCUUUUAAUUGAAGGCUGGUAUGAAUGGUUGGACGAGAUAUUAACUGUUUCAUAAAAAUUUAUAUUAGAAUUUUAUUUUUUAGUCAAAAAGCUAAAAUUUAUUUAAAAGACGAGAAGACCCUAUAAAUCUUUAUAUUUAAAUUAUUAUAAUUUUAUAGAUAAUUUUUGUUAUAAUAAUUAAUAAUAUUUUAUUGGGGUGAUAUUAAAAUUUAAUAAACUUUUAAUUUUUAGAAUCAUUGAUUUAUGAAUAAUUGAUCCGUUAUUAACGAUUAAAAAAAUAAGUUACUUUAGGGAUAACAGCGUAAUUUUUUUGGAGAGUUCAUAUCGAUAAAAAAGAUUGCGACCUCGAUGUUGGAUUAAGAUAUAAUUUUAGGUGUAGCCGCUUAAAUUUUAAGUCUGUUCGACUUUUAA
RNAcentral lists this ribosomal RNA (460 nucleotides) under Trichopalpus fraternus. RNAcentral's name for it is "partial 16S ribosomal RNA". It matches the Rfam family "Bacterial large subunit ribosomal RNA", at positions 1922 to 2591 of the family's 2925-position model. The record is from RNAcentral. Lineage: Eukaryota; Metazoa; Arthropoda; Insecta; Diptera; Scathophagidae.